This 413-nucleotide ribosomal RNA is filed under the name uncultured Barnesiella sp. RNAcentral's name for it is "bacterial SSU rRNA". It matches the Rfam family "Bacterial small subunit ribosomal RNA", at positions 355 to 766 of the family's 1533-position model. The record is from RNAcentral. Lineage: Bacteria; Pseudomonadati; Bacteroidota; Bacteroidia; Bacteroidales; Barnesiellaceae.
UGAGGAAUAUUGGUCAAUGGGCGCAGGCCUGAACCAGCCAAGUCGCGUGAGGGAUGACGGUCCUACGGAUUGUAAACCUCUUUUGUCGGGGAGUAACGUGCGGGACGGGUCCCGUAUUGAGAGUACCCGAAGAAAAAGCAUCGGCUAACUCCGUGCCAGCAGCCGCGGUAAUACGGAGGAUGCGAGCGUUAUCCGGAUUUAUUGGGUUUAAAGGGUGCGCAGGCGGACAUUCAAGUCUGCGGUCAAAUUCCGGGGCUCAACCCCGGCCAGCCGUGGAAACUGAAUGACUUGAGUGGGCGAGAGGUAUGCGGAAUGCGCGGUGUAGCGGUGAAAUGCUUAGAGAUCGCGCAGAACUCCGAUUGCGAAGGCAGCAUACCGGCGCCUUACUGACGCUCAGGCACGAAAGCGUGGGG